AGAGUUUGAUCCUGGCUCAGAAUCAACGCUGGCGGCAUGCCUAACACAUGCAAGUCGAACGAGAAAGUGGAGCAAUCCAUGAGUAAAGUGGCGUACGGGUGAGUAACACGUGACUAACCUACCCUCGAGUGGGGAAUAACCUCGGGAAACCGGGGCUAAUACCGCAUGACAUCGAUGAGUGCAAUUCUUGUCGAUCAAAGCAGUAAUGCGCUUGAGGAGGGGGUCGCGGCUGAUUAGCUAGUUGGCGGGGUAACGGCCCACCAAGGCAGUGAUCAGUAUCCGGCCUGAGAGGGCGCACGGACACACUGGGACUGAAACACGGCCCAGACUCCUACGGGAGGCAGCAGUGGGGAAUUUUGCACAAUGGGGGAAACCCUGAUGCAGCAACGCCGCGUGGAGGAUGAAGCCCUUUGGGGCGUAAACUCCUUUCGAUCGGGACGAUAAUGACGGUACCGGAAGAAGAAGCACCGGCUAACUCUGUGCCAGCAGCCGCGGUAAUACAGAGGGUGCGAGCGUUGUUCGGAAUUAUUGGGCGUAAAGGGCGCGUAGGCGGUGCGGUAAGUCUGCGGUGAAAUCUCCCGGCUCAACUGGGAGGCUGCCGUGGAAACUGCCGUGCUUGAGUGUGGGAGAGGUGAGUGGAAUUCCCGGUGUAGCGGUGAAAUGCAUAGAUAUUACACAGAACACCGAUUGCGAAGGCAGCUUACUAAUCUACAACUGACACUGAGGCACGAAAGCGUGGGGAUCAAACAGGAUUAGAUACCCUGGUAGUCCACGCUGUAAACGAUGAUCACUCGCUGUUUGCGAUAUACAGUAAGCGGCUAAGCGAAAGCGAUAAGUGAUCCACCUGGGGAGUACGAUCGCAAGGUUGAAACUCAAAGGAAUUGACGGGGGCCCGCACAAGCGGAGGAACAUGUGGUUUAAUUCGAUGAUACGCGAGGAACCUUACCUGGGCUUAAAUGGGGAGUGACAGCUGGCGAAAGUUGGUUUUCUUCGGACACUCUUCAAGGUGCUGCAUGGUUGUCGUCAGCUCGUGCCGUGAGGUGUCGGGUUAAGUCCCAUAACGAGCGCAACCCUUACUGUUAGUUGCCAGCGGGUAGAGCCGGGAACUCUAACGGGACUGCCACCGUAAGGUGAGAGGAAGGUGGGGAUGACGUCAAAUCAGCACGGCCCUUAUGUCCAGGGCUACACACGUGUUACAAUGGCCGGUACAAAGGGCAGCUACACCGCGAGGUGAUGCUAAUCUCGAAAGCCGGUCUCAGUUCGGAUCGAAGUCUGCAACCCGACUUCGUGAAGUUGGAUUCGCUAGUAAUCGCGCAUCAGCCAUGGCGCGGUGAAUACGUUCCCGGGUCUUGUACACACCGCCCGUCACACCAUGGGAGUCAUUUGCUCCAGAAGUCGGUCACCCAACCGUAAGGAGGGAGCCGCCGAAGGAGUGGAUGGUGACUGGGGUGAAGUCGUAACAAGGUAACC
This 1470-nucleotide ribosomal RNA is filed under the name uncultured bacterium. RNAcentral's name for it is "partial 16S ribosomal RNA". It matches the Rfam family "Bacterial small subunit ribosomal RNA". The record is from RNAcentral.